CAGUAGCCGCGGUAAUACGAAGGGUGCAAGCGUUAAUCGGAAUUACUGGGCGUAAAGCGUGCGUAGGCGGUUUGUUAAGUCUGCUGUGAAAUCCCCGGGCUCAACCUGGGAAUGGCAGUGGAUACUGGCAAGCUAGAGUGUGUCAGAGGAUGGUGGAAUUCCCGGUGUAGCGGUGAAACGCGUAGAGAUCGGGAGGAACAUCAGUGGCGAAGGCGGCCAUCUGGGACAACACUGACGCUGAGGCACGAAAGCGUGGGGAGCAAACAGGAUUAGAUACCCCAGUAGUCCCUGUCUCUUAUAC
This 301-nucleotide ribosomal RNA is filed under the name uncultured bacterium. RNAcentral describes it as "partial 16S ribosomal RNA". It matches the Rfam family "Bacterial small subunit ribosomal RNA", at positions 509 to 807 of the family's 1533-position model. The record is from RNAcentral.